Molecule: non-coding RNA, 1943 nt
Organism: Phoenix dactylifera (date palm)
Lineage: Eukaryota; Viridiplantae; Streptophyta; Magnoliopsida; Arecales; Arecaceae
Source: RefSeq, a predicted model, not a curated record
AAUUUCACAUCCUCCGGAGUCGACUCCAAGAACUCUUCUCCAAAUUCUAAUGCUUCCCACCAUCUUCCUACCUUCCCAACUCCCCUGUUCCACGACAUUCAUCCAGAACGGAAUCUAGAUUAGAACAAAAACAUCCCCUGUUUCUCUGCGACCUCCUCCACAUCCUUUCCGAUCUUAUCUUCCCAAGAUAGAACCGAGUCCAAGAUUCCUUCUGCUGCAAGAUCAGCUUCUAGAUAAGCUUCAAAUCCCAGCAGAAUUUCAUUAUCCUACAGAUCAGCGAAUCCAACCUUCCUCCUCUUCCGAAUCCUUCCCAGAUUUUCCCUCGGGCUUAUCUUCAUCUCCACCGCGUUGAACCAACAUCAGCAACUUCCGGAUCAACCCCAUUCAACUGUGUCCGAGCAUCCUACGAGCAUCAUGUCUUCCCAGAUUUUGUCCCGUUCGGAUUACAUCCUUAUCCCCCGCUUCGGAUAAGUCCCAAACUCCCUCCCAUUCGUAGUUGUCCAGCAAAUCCUUCAUCGCCCAUGAUGAAUCCAACGCGUCCCAGCUACAUCCAAGAUCCUCUCCGCAUUGAAGAAGCGCCGAUUCCUUCCAUCGCCCACGGAUAAGUGCAGCUCCUACCAGCCUCCGAGAUCCUCCCAGCAUCCUCUCCCCUGUUCCGCGUGUCCAUUCCCUUCCGGAUGAGAACCAGCAACCACUGCCAGCUGCUCCCCCUCGCAGACUCAAAUCAACUUCCGGAUCCCUGAGAACAGAGCUUAUCCUCUCCGAAAAUCAAGCAUGUCAUUCUACGUUCAGCCUUCCACAUUCCAAGCUUCUCCUCGCAUCCAUAAUCCUCUUCCCAUCGUAUCUUCACAACAGUCUCCACGUCCCAGCCAUCUUCCGGACUGAUCCCAGCCAAAUUCCUUAGUCUCCUGCAUCCGGAUAUCCCGCGGCCAGCCAAGAUUCAGUAGCCAUUCAGAUUAGAUCCAUCUCCCGUUUCCAGCAUCCCACUGUUCGCAAGGAUCAAGCAAUCCUCCCGUGUCGUGGCUUCCAAUCUUUUCUCCCUUCGGAACAGAGUAUCAGCCUAUCCACUACUUCCGAACCAGCCCAGUCUUCUGGAUUCAUCCCAACCAACCGCGAAUCAAAGUCUUCCUUAUCCCCCGCUUCGAAACAGGAUCCCAGCAAUUUUUCCUUGAUUCAUCUUCAUCCCAUGAGCCAUAUCCUCCCUCCGGAUCACUUCCCCUGCAUCCCAGUAGAACAGAGUUCAGCCACUCCGCGAUUGAAGGCUCCAUCAUCCACGGAUUCAAUUGUUCAGCAUGAGCCAUCCACCAUCCACACUUCUCCCCAACUUCAUGGAUCGUUAUCCCAACCACGAACGAAGUUCCAGCUUGUAAUACCCCAUGAAAAAAAAAAAAAGAGAAAAAAAAAAAAGGAAAGAGAGAUGGGCCGGCCCGAAAAGACCGGGCCCAUCCCUCUUUUUCCGAUCGUGCCCUAGGCACGAUCGUGGAUGAAGAGAGGAGAAUGGGAGAGAGGGGGGCGGCGGCGUUGGAGGGGAUCGUCGGAGAGGAGAUGGGCGCCGAGGUCCGGCCGGCCGCGGAGGAAGACCACUUUCCUUCGGUGAAGAUCCCCACAGGUGAAGAGACCUUGGAGCCGUGCGCAUUAAUCCGAGCUGCUCGCGGACUUUCUCCACCGAGUCCUCGCCGGAAGGGUCGCCGGAGCACUUCGUCGGACCGAGGGGAAGAGUCAGCGGUGCCAGGAGGUUUUGAUCAGGGGACUCAGCACCCCAGCUCGUAGGUUGUGAUCCAGAUCUGUAUUUGAGUCUGUCUACAAUUUCGAGUUGCAGGAUGCAUAGAUUUGGAUGGGAUGGGUGCAGAGUGCGAAUACCAGAGUUAUUAGUUAGUUAGUUUGUUUAUCCUUCUUUGAUGUCGAUGAACAUUUGAAGGAUCUUGUAAUUGAACCAAUUUGUU